This 1554-nucleotide ribosomal RNA is filed under the name Salmonella enterica subsp. enterica serovar Montevideo str. CDC 07-0954. RNAcentral's name for it is "bacterial SSU rRNA". It matches the Rfam family "Bacterial small subunit ribosomal RNA". Lineage: Bacteria; Pseudomonadati; Pseudomonadota; Gammaproteobacteria; Enterobacterales; Enterobacteriaceae. The record is from RNAcentral.
UUAAAUUGAAGAGUUUGAUCAUGGCUCAGAUUGAACGCUGGCGGCAGGCCUAACACAUGCAAGUCGAACGGUAACAGGAAGCAGCUUGCUGCUUUGCUGACGAGUGGCGGACGGGUGAGUAAUGUCUGGGAAACUGCCUGAUGGAGGGGGAUAACUACUGGAAACGGUGGCUAAUACCGCAUAACGUCGCAAGACCAAAGAGGGGGACCUUCGGGCCUCUUGCCAUCAGAUGUGCCCAGAUGGGAUUAGCUUGUUGGUGAGGUAACGGCUCACCAAGGCGACGAUCCCUAGCUGGUCUGAGAGGAUGACCAGCCACACUGGAACUGAGACACGGUCCAGACUCCUACGGGAGGCAGCAGUGGGGAAUAUUGCACAAUGGGCGCAAGCCUGAUGCAGCCAUGCCGCGUGUAUGAAGAAGGCCUUCGGGUUGUAAAGUACUUUCAGCGGGGAGGAAGGUGUUGUGGUUAAUAACCACAGCAAUUGACGUUACCCGCAGAAGAAGCACCGGCUAACUCCGUGCCAGCAGCCGCGGUAAUACGGAGGGUGCAAGCGUUAAUCGGAAUUACUGGGCGUAAAGCGCACGCAGGCGGUCUGUCAAGUCGGAUGUGAAAUCCCCGGGCUCAACCUGGGAACUGCAUUCGAAACUGGCAGGCUUGAGUCUUGUAGAGGGGGGUAGAAUUCCAGGUGUAGCGGUGAAAUGCGUAGAGAUCUGGAGGAAUACCGGUGGCGAAGGCGGCCCCCUGGACAAAGACUGACGCUCAGGUGCGAAAGCGUGGGGAGCAAACAGGAUUAGAUACCCUGGUAGUCCACGCCGUAAACGAUGUCUACUUGGAGGUUGUGCCCUUGAGGCGUGGCUUCCGGAGCUAACGCGUUAAGUAGACCGCCUGGGGAGUACGGCCGCAAGGUUAAAACUCAAAUGAAUUGACGGGGGCCCGCACAAGCGGUGGAGCAUGUGGUUUAAUUCGAUGCAACGCGAAGAACCUUACCUGGUCUUGACAUCCACGGAAGAAUUCAGAGAUGGAUUUGUGCCUUCGGGAACCGUGAGACAGGUGCUGCAUGGCUGUCGUCAGCUCGUGUUGUGAAAUGUUGGGUUAAGUCCCGCAACGAGCGCAACCCUUAUCCUUUGUUGCCAGCGAUUCGGUCGGGAACUCAAAGGAGACUGCCAGUGAUAAACUGGAGGAAGGUGGGGAUGACGUCAAGUCAUCAUGGCCCUUACGACCAGGGCUACACACGUGCUACAAUGGCGCAUACAAAGAGAAGCGACCUCGCGAGAGCAAGCGGACCUCAUAAAGUGCGUCGUAGUCCGGAUUGGAGUCUGCAACUCGACUCCAUGAAGUCGGAAUCGCUAGUAAUCGUGGAUCAGAAUGCCACGGUGAAUACGUUCCCGGGCCUUGUACACACCGCCCGUCACACCAUGGGAGUGGGUUGCAAAAGAAGUAGGUAGCUUAACCUUCGGGAGGGCGCUUACCACUUUGUGAUUCAUGACUGGGGUGAAGUCGUAACAAGGUAACCGUAGGGGAACCUGCGGUUGGAUCACCUCCUUACCUUAAAGAA